Molecule: long non-coding RNA, 2188 nt
Filed under: Homo sapiens (human)
Lineage: Eukaryota; Metazoa; Chordata; Mammalia; Primates; Hominidae
Description: PREDICTED lncRNA (TCONS_00060969)
Source: RNAcentral
GCGGCCGCCCAGCGCCCGUCCCCGCGCCGCACUCCCCGGCACUCCCCGGCGCUCCCCGCGCCGCGCGCCCCGCACCGGCUGGAGGCCCCGGCCCCCCGGCGUUCCCUCUCCGCGCACCUCCCGGCCCGCGCUAGCAGGUAGCAGGCAAGAGUGUGGUUAUCGUUGGACCAGGAUUCAGGAUCUGACUGAGUAGCUGACUCUUAAUCCAGUUUGUGUUGAUCACCAGGAGGAUCUGGACCUCAGUAUUACCACAUCUAGAGCUAUAAUCACAUCCCUGUUAAGCCUUCCUGAGAUCACACCAAAUGUCCUUGAUGGGAAUUGUAAACAACCCUUACUUCUGGUUUCUAAUGAUAUUCCAGGAAAGGAGCCUAACUAGAGUCAGUGAUAUGCCAACUCCACCUUUGCCUUCCACCAUGUUUGGAAGCUCCCUGAGGCCUCACCAGGAGCAGAUGCUCGUCCCAUGCUUCCUAUAAGCCUGCAGAACUGGAAAAGAAAGCUGGAUAAAGUAUUUAUAGAAGAUAGAGGACCUGUGGUGGCUCAUGCCUGUAAUCCAAGGUGGAAGGAUUGCUUGAGGCCAGAAGUUCAAGACCAGUCCAAGCAACAUAGCAAGGCCCCAUCUCUACAAAAAAUGAAAAUAAAAUUAGCCGAGCGUGAUGGCUCAUGCCUGUAGUUCUAGCUUCUAGAGAGGCUGAGGCAGGAGGAUUGCUUGAGUCCAGGAGUUCAAGAUUACAGUGAGCUAUGGUCACACCACUGCACUCCAGCCUGGGUGAUGGAGUGAGACUGUCUCAAUAAAAAGACAAAAAGGCUGGCCAGGGGCAGUGGUUCAUGCCUGUAAACCCAGCACUUUGGGAGGCAAAGGCAGGAGGAUUGCUUAAGCCCAGGAAUUUGAGAUCAGCCUGGACAACAUGGUCAAGGAAGCUUUUCCUGAUCCACUAACUAAGGACAAUCAAACCCUUCAUGAUCUAGAAUCUGGAGACUGUGUCUUCUGGGAAUAGUAUCAGAGAAAGACUGCCCUUACUGCCCACAUGUAGCAAAACUUUGAGACGUUGAAUUAUGGGUCCAUAAUCUCACAACUCAGAGGGGCACCUCUAGACUCUUGGAACUGUAUAUCUAUUGGAGACUUUAAGGUAAAGCUGAACAGAGAGACGUUUUUCUCCAGAAGCAGACAGCACCAUAGUCAUGGACAGCUUUCCCAAGAUCACAGAUCAAGACUUCUCUGCCGUCAUGAGACUCAUAACCUCUUAAUUUUUUCUUGCUUAUGCUUCUGUGAACAAUAGAAUUGGAAAAGGGGUGGUCCCGCGUGCACCCAUAGGGUAUACUUUUAUUUGUGGAGGAUUUUGCUGCCAACCUUAUACAUGGGCAAACUUAUGCCUUCAUGGAUGGAAGAUAAAGGGCUAAUAUGGGUUAGAAAUUUUAAUGGUACCUUUGUUUCUCCAUAAUCAUUCAGAAACAGAACACUGGUCCACUCUUGUUAACCUACAUCAUAGGUUGAAGAGAACAUUGCCAGGAGGCCUUCAUCCUUCCAGAUGGGCACCAUUUGUUGGGUCUUUUUCCGUGGUAUGAAGAAAAUGAAGCAAUGAUUAGAAAUUGGUCCCUCGGCCGGGCACAAUGGCUCAUGCCUGUAAUCCCAUCACUUUGGCAGGCCGAGGCGGGUGGAUCACCUGAGGUCAGGAGUUUGAGACCAGCCUGACCAAUGUGGUGAAACGCCAUCUCUACUAAAAAUACAAAAAUUAGCUGGGUGUGAUGGUGCACACCUGUAAUCCAGCUACUCGGGAGGCUGAGACAGGAGAAUUGCUUGAACCUGGGAGGCAGAGGUUGCAGUGAGCCAAGAUCACCCCACUGCAUUCCAGGUUGGGCAACAGAGCAAGACUCUGUCUCAAAAAAAAAAGAAGAAAGAAAGAAAUUGAUCCCUCAUAAUAGGCUGUAUAGCAGAUUCUACUGCAAAGGCUAUGGUUGCACAACAGACUUCUUUGAAUUUGCUUGCUAAACUUUUACUGGAUAAUACUGGGAUUACAGGUGUGAGCCACUGUGCCCAGCCUCUCCUGUUUAACUGUAUUCAUUCUAAUGUUUACUUACUUCUUUAAUUUGUAAAAUUGGGUCACUUAGAGUUUUUUUAGCCUAUCUUGCCAUUUAGCCACUGUUACUGAUAAUUUGGAUGGAAAAGAAAAAUAAAUUAUAUCACCUCUCA